This 727-nucleotide long non-coding RNA is filed under the name Manacus vitellinus (golden-collared manakin). RNAcentral's name for it is "lncRNA (ENSMVIG00005001126.1)". Lineage: Eukaryota; Metazoa; Chordata; Aves; Passeriformes; Pipridae. The record is from RNAcentral.
CAUCCCACCUCCUCCAGGGGCAGCCGGGAGAAUUUAAAGGGGGCCCAGGAAGUCACCACUGCAAGUUUAUAAAAGCUUUUAUUUGCUCUUGGUACGACCAAGAAUGGGACAGUGAUCUUUUAUACAAUUUGAUACAGUAAGUGGUACAAAAGAAUGUGUUUUAAAUAAAAAGCCAGAGUGGAGUAGCAAAAAUUUAUUAUUCCACCGUCCGAGGGCCCGAGGCGCCGCGGUGAGCACGGCCCCCACGGCCCGUGACACUCGUGGGACAGAGCCCAGCUCAGGUUUGGUUUGUCGGGCCCGAUUGAGUCGUUUUGACAGGUUUUUGUGGGCUGGGCCCAGCAGGGAGUUCAGACACCAGCACAAAUCAAAUUACCGCAAAUUAAUUCCUCCAACAUCGUUAUUUUUUUUGGGGGGGGGGGUGUUUUAUCUGUUUUCAGCACCGGCACCGACUCGUGCUGCUCGAGCCCACGCCCGCGGGUACAGCUCGUGGUUGGACAGGAACAGAAAAUAGACCAAAUAGAAAGAUUUCAGUUUAUUAACCGGGCAGGGGGAGGGGACCGGGGGCGGGACCAGCGAGUGGCCUGGGCUCCACCUGGGGCUCGCACUGGGCACGGCAGCGUCUGCAGAGGGGUCACACGGAGGGAGCCGAGCCCCUGGAAGCAGGUAAGAAGCUCACGUUUAAAACAAGGAUUAUACAAAAAAAACCCUUGAUGUAUAUUCGCCAUUU